This 481-nucleotide ribosomal RNA is filed under the name uncultured bacterium. Its description in RNAcentral is "SSU rRNA". It matches the Rfam family "Bacterial small subunit ribosomal RNA", at positions 26 to 521 of the family's 1533-position model. The record is from RNAcentral.
AGAACGAACGCUGGCGGCAUGCCUAACACAUGCAAGUCGAACGCUUCCGGGGCUUCGGUCGCGGAGGAGUGGCGCACGGGUGAGUAGCGCGUGGGAACCUGCCCUGUUGUGGGGGAUAACCGAGGGAAACUUCGGCUAAUACCGCAUACGCCCCGGGACUUGGUCUUCGGAUUAGGUCUGGGGGGAAAGAUUGAUCGCAGCAGGAGGGGCCCGCGUCGGAUUAGCUGGUUGGUGGGGUAACGGCUCACCAAGGCGAUGAUCCGUAGCUGGUCUGAGAGGAUGAUCAGCCACACUGGGACUGAGACACGGCCCAGACUCCUACGGGAGGCAGCAGUGGGGAAUAUUGGACAAUGGGGGCAACCCUGAUCCAGCAAUGCCGCGUGAGUGAUGAAGGCCUUAGGGUUGUAAAGCUCUUUCGCCCGCGACGAUGAUGACGGUAGCGGGAGAAGAGCCCGGCUAACUUCGCGCCAGCAGCCGCGGU